Molecule: long non-coding RNA, 4266 nt
Organism: Solanum pennellii
Lineage: Eukaryota; Viridiplantae; Streptophyta; Magnoliopsida; Solanales; Solanaceae
Exons: 3
Source: RefSeq, a predicted model, not a curated record
GAUAUUCUUCACCCAAUUUAACACAUAAAAAUAAAAUUUAACUCCAUCUCUCUCUCUCUUCUCUCAAGGAUUAAACCAGCAGCGAUAAAGUUUUCUAGGGUUCUUGAAGAAACCCUUAUAUCUGCAAACCAAAUGUGAAAGGAAGCUGAAGUUCUAAAAGAAUUCAAGUUAUAAGGAGAAGUUGCAGAAAUUGAGGGCAUGUGAUACAAGUGACCAGCUGAUUGGUGGAAGAAGAAGAUGACCCAUGCUAGGCCUUUUAACCCAGGGAUGUGGUCCUCAUAAUUACACCAUUUGCGAUUGGCCCAUGCUACCCUGAGAUGCCACCCUUCUAUACCAUUAGGGAUUGACCCAUGCUAUGCUUUCGCUCCUGAGUUGCCACCAUUAUGUUGGGAUCGACCCAUGAUAGGCAUUUGCCUCUGGGAUGCCACCUGUAAUUAUACAGAUUGCUUCACUUAGAUUCCUUAAUCUUUGAGAUUGUUGUUUAUCAAUUCAUAACUCUUUUGAGAUUGUUGUUUUGGUGGUCAUAUCAUUUUUGACAAAUGGAGAUACAUACCAGUGGUAGAAGACAUGAAAACAAUACUUCAAGGAUGUAACAAUGACAGAAGGAGCUAUGUAACAUCAACACAUUACUUGUGAGCUUAAUGACACAAUUGACUUCAAUUGACUAAGAGAAGGAUUCACCAAACUUUCUUUUGCAAAUAACAUUUCUAUACAAGCACAAGGGGGAUACUUACACAAGUAUAGAGUAGUGAACAUAUAAUGAAGCAGUUCUAUGAACUAAUAAGGAGAGGAGAAAUAUAUUUAGCUAUUUGGAGUUAAUACGUGGCCAUUGUUUCCUUUACUAGGAAUAGAACAUAGGAGAUUCACUUCAUUGAUACUAAUUACAAGUGUGAGAUUUCAUGCCAAGGAAUAUGGAAUCGAAUAGCCUUACAUACCUUAUUUUCUGACCAAUACCACUAUUGUCAGCCCCAACCCUAGGUGAGGCGGACAAGUACCUUAUUAGCACAUGCUUUACAAGUAAUCUAUGAUGAGAAAGUAAACUACUAUGCAGACUACCGAUGAGAAGCUUCAUAUACAACACAUUUUGACUAGCUAAACCGCUAUAUACGACAAGAGAAACUAUGAAUACAAAUAAUAACUUUACAAUGUCUACAAAGCCUCUACUGGAAGCCAUGAUGGUACCAUUAUUAAAAUACACAUAGUAAAGACUCGGCAAAGCCCCGAAUCAACCUGGAGCUUACCAACAUCCACUGAGUACAAUGUGCUUCUAUAGGAAAGAUCUACUAGUUGAGUACUUGUACCAGCAACAUGAAAUGCAGCGUCCCCAAUAAGGGACGUCAGUACAAAAGAAUGUACUUAAUAUGUAAGGAAGAAUACAACCAUAUUUAACAUGAGAGGUCAAGUGAAACCAAAUACCAAUAGAUAAGGAUUAGAGACCACCUUUGCUUUGUAGUUGUGGAAUCAUGCAUGUUACAUUCUUUUCUCUAUUUUUCUGUACUUUAUAAUCCUUAUGAUAUAAAAUGACCAGCUGAUCAGUGGGAGAAGAGGAUGACACAUGCUAGGCAUUUUAACCCUUGGGAUGUUGUCCUUAUAAUUCCACUAAUUAGGAUCAACCCAUGCUAGGCUUUUGCCCCUGAGAUGCCACCCUUUCAUACCAAUUGGGAUCGGCCCAUGAUAGGCUUUCGCCCCUGAGUUGGCACCCUUUAAUACAAUAAAGGAUCGGACCAUGCUAUGCUUUUGCCCCUGAGCUGCCACCCAUAAUCAUACAGAUUACUUCACUUAGAUUCUUUCAUCUUUGAGAUUGUUGUCUAUCAGUUCAUAACUAUUUUGGGAUUGUUCUUUAGAUAAUUAUAACUCAUUUGAGAUUGUUCUUUUUGAUGUCUAUAACUUUUUUGUGAUUAUUGUUAUGGUGGUGAGAGUCCUUGUUUAGAUUUGGAACUACGGAUGAGUAGUAGAAGACAUAUGAAUAUGGACAUACGAUAGUAACAAUGACAUGGGAAGCAAAUGUAACUUGAACGUAGUACUUAGGAGCAUAUAUGACUCGGUAUGCAUUUUGACAUCUCAAUUUAAGCACAUCUAGUGAAGACAAUUUAACAUUCAGACAAUAGAUUUGGACUCUAUAUGAUACUAAUACAAGGUGUUUAUGAAUAUGGAACCAAGGGGAAAAAAAUAUGGGCAGAUUAAACUUAAGGACGGAUACAUAUUCCUAGUAAGUACAUAUAAAUGUACAAUUGAGCAAGUAGUGAUCCUGUGAGGUAACAUUAUAGUCUAACACAAUGGGAGUAAUAACAAAGAAAGGGAACAGAUGAACGUGUUAUAAGUAGACAUGUCUAUAAACAAUUAAAGCAAGUUGGAAUGAUAUGGGCAGAUCAUAUAUCCAUCCAAUAAACAUAUGUACAUGUGUAAUAUAGGAUCACUUUGACUUAUAUAUGAAAAAUAUGUGCUAGGAGUACUUUGACAAUGAAACAAGUUUAAACCUUGCAUGCAAACACUUGGUAGAGUAAACACACACAUUUAAUAACAAACUCAUAUUAGAUUACCCACUUUAAUGCUCUAAGGAGUAGGAACUAAAACUAUGGAUCAGUCACUACCAAAGGCACUUAGAAAGCUUACUUUUUGUAAUGCAAUUUUCUGAUUCAUGCCAAAGAAAUAGGAAAUGAAAUAGCCUUACAUGCCUUGCUAUACAAUUCAAAACGUAUGACUUGAACUCCUUCUCUUCAGAUCACUAAUCUACAAUAAAAUAAGUUGUAAGACUAGUAUUAGUAGCUAAUCAAUAAAUUUGAGCCACUUGAUCACACCCAAAUAGUAACGAAUCAGUAAGCUGCAAUCAUCUAGCGAGUGUUUUCUUUCCUUCCCCAUCCCUUUAAUCGCGUCUAUAUACUAUACAACCUUCGUAUCAGGUCCUCCCCAAAACUCCCUGCAAUAUUUAAGUCCUUUAAUGUCUCCAUAACUUCCCCGCACAUCCAGUCACAUCCCUUAUCAUAACAUACAUAAAACAAUCUUUGAGCAUAAUAAUGUAAUAGAAGAAGCAACAUAAAUAAUGGUUUCUGAUCACCAGCACUUGAAGAGCUAACAUUACUUUUAAUGUUCUCAAACAAGCUCAUAGCUUAAUUUAAAGAGAACUCCCCACCAUAGCUGUCCCAAUAUGCACUAAUCACCAGAACAUCCUCCCCAAUAUUCACCAUGUAAAAGUAACAAUUUCCAACUCACUAACACAUACCAAAUGUCCUAGUUAACUCAAGCACAAGAGGGAGAAAAUUGCAGUAGCUUACCUUGCUGGACAUAAAUACCACUUGCUAAGAUUUGGAUUCUUCAAGGUAAAGGUUGUCCUCCUUAAAUUGUCUUAAAUUAUACCUUCCAAUAGCUUGAAAUACCUAUUAUUAAAGAACCCUAAUGAUAUUUAAUGGUUGUUGUAUGAAUCUAAGAGAGAGAAGAGAGAAAUCUCGAGUAAUCAGAUUUUUUGACAAAGUAAAAACGGUUAGAAAAAGCUGAUAUCAAUCUCUUUUAAAGGGACUUGCUUUGGCCGAUUUUGUCACUCAUUUUGGGCCAUAAUUUUUCAAGUAAGUUACCCACCUACUUGUACUUUUCAUUUGGACUUUUUGGACUUAAGAACAUUGGCCCUUUUGCCACGUUUCUUGUACUUCAUUUACAGCCAACACAUGUCUUUAAUUUGGGCCACACCUUUAAGUAGGUGGUGCACCUUGUUUUCCACUAAAAUUAUUUCUUGUGGGCUUGAGAAGAUUGGACCUUGGAUGUUCAUUUUCCCCUUAUUCUUCUAUUCAACUUUGGCUAAAUUAAUGCAAAUAGGUGUAGUUUACUUGUCUCAAUAACACAGUCAAAAGAGUCUUAGUAGGUGAUGCACCUACUUGGUCCUUUGGGCUGGUCAAUAAGUCAAAGUAGGUGAUUCACCUACUUGGUCCUUUGGGAUGGUCAAUAAGUCAAUGUAGGUGAUAAACCUACUUCUCACAUACUAGCUUAGUGAAGUCAAGCAAGCACCUCAAUAUUUUGUUCCAUUUCAAGACCUUAAUAACUUCACCAUAACUUAGAACUUAUAUACACUAUGUAACUUUAUACUUUAGACUCAAAUAAAACCGUGUGAUCUCAUGUUUAAAUACUUCCAUCGACAUCAACUUAAUUGGGUCGCACCAAAAUUUCUGGACAGUUCACUAUAAACCUUAUUUAUUGCCAAAUCACAUAGGAAACCGAAUUCAUAACUAUACCACAAGGCAGUUUAUAAGCAUUAUAUAAAUAGAACUAGUACAUAUA